RNAcentral lists this ribosomal RNA (428 nucleotides) under uncultured bacterium. RNAcentral describes it as "bacterial SSU rRNA". It matches the Rfam family "Bacterial small subunit ribosomal RNA", at positions 355 to 775 of the family's 1533-position model. The record is from RNAcentral.
UGGGGAAUAUUGGACAAUGGGCGCAAGCCUGAUCCAGCAACGCCGCGUGGAGGAUGAAGGUCUUCGGAUCGUAAACUCCUGUCAGACGGGACGAAGGUAGCGGGGUAAAUAAUCCCGCUGCUUGACGGUACUGUCAGAGGAAGCCCCGGCUAACUCCGUGCCAGCAGCCGCGGUAAUACGGAGGGGGCGAGCGUUAUUCGGAAUUAUUGGGCGUAAAGGGCGCGUAGGCGGCUUCGUAAGUCAAAGGUGAAAUCCCUCGGCUCAACUGAGGAACUGCCUUUGAAACUGUGAGGCUUGAGGCCGGGAGGGGGUAGCGGAAUUCCCAGUGUAGCGGUGAAAUGCGUAGAUACUGGGAGGAACACCAGUGGCGAAGGCGGCUACCUGGACCGGUUCUGACGCUGAGGCGCGAAAGCGUGGGUAGCAAACAG